RNAcentral lists this microRNA precursor (66 nucleotides) under Medicago truncatula (barrel medic). Its description in RNAcentral is "miR5233 stem-loop (mtr-MIR5233)". Lineage: Eukaryota; Viridiplantae; Streptophyta; Magnoliopsida; Fabales; Fabaceae. The record is from miRBase by way of RNAcentral.
UCAUGUUGGUGAGGAGGAUGGCCGUCUGGACAUUCCAGACAAUAUGGCCCCUGAUAUUACUAAUAU